This is an RNA transcript of Ailuropoda melanoleuca (giant panda), 2795 nucleotides long. It is a transcript of the gene named T cell receptor gamma constant 2, with no coding region annotated. The record is from RefSeq and is a predicted model, not a curated record. Lineage: Eukaryota; Metazoa; Chordata; Mammalia; Carnivora; Ursidae. The transcript has 8 exons.
CCUGCCUUUCUCUCACCAGUACCUGCAGGUGCCUCAGGGAAGCAGAGGCUCAGAUCUUAAUCUGCCCUCUGCCACCAGCCAGCCAGUCUCCUCCCAGCAGGUGCAGUCGUGGGGUCACCCUGCGCUUCUCUCCACCAGUUGGGAAGCAGAACCAUGCUGGGUCCCCUUGCCAUCCUGUGCGCCCUCCUGUUUCCUGGCAGUGGAGCAGGGCUCAAGCUGGAUCAGCCAGAUGUGGUCGUGGAGCGGUUGGGCAAGACGGCCAGCCUGCCAUGCAAAGUCGACACCCGGGUCAGCUACAUCCACUGGUACCGCUACCAGGAGGGUAGUGCCCCACAGAGGCUCCUCUACUUUGACGUGUCUGGGUCAUUUGCAAGGAGGGAUUUGGUCCUGAAAGCAGACAAAGUCAAUGCCAAGAAGGGCAGGGAUGGCUACAGCUGUAACCUGUCUGUGCUGAAGCUGGAGAAGAGCGACGAGGGCGUGUACUACUGCGCUGCCUGGGAAGCGCGGAAGAACUGGAAGAAAACCAAAGUGUUUGGUCCUGGCACAAUGCUCAGGGUUACAGAUAAAAGCCCUGAUGAAGACAUAUCCCCCAAGCCCACAAUUUUUUUUCCUUCAAUUGCUGAAAUAAAAGUCCAGAAGGCUGGAACAUAUCUUUGUCUUCUUGAGGAUUUUUUCCCUGAUGUUAUCAAGAUAGAUUGGAAAGAAAAGGAUGGCAAAACAGUUCUGACAUCCCAGCAGGGAGACACCGUGAAGACUGAGGACACGUACAUGAAAUUCAGUUGGCUGACCUUGACUGAAGCGUCGUUGGAUAAAGAACACAAAUGUAUCGUCAAACAUGAUAAAAAUAAAAAGGGGGUUGAUCAAGAGAUUCUUUUUCCUUCAAUAGACAAAGAUUUGGUGGCAGCAAUGGAAUCCGAAGCAGACUCCAGGGGGCAUUCAGAGACAAAGCAAAACACAGACGUGGUAACUGUGAGCCCUUCGAGUUCAGGAUCUUUCUCUCCUGUUCCAAGGGCUGUGGAUCCAUUGCUACUGAUCAUUUCUCUGGCAGAGAUGGCUAUUGUCUUCCUGCUGGUGGCAUCCCGCAUGACUGCUCUUAGCGUUCUGUCUGCCGAGGACGUGCGGCUUGUUGGUUCUUCCUUUGGCUCUCACUGCGAGUGACUCUGGAUCUCGGGAGGGUGAUAUCCUUUGCACCUUCUUUGGGAAUCCUGGGAACAUGGAUAUUAUUCCAUCUGCCAGAAAUCCUUGAAGUUAAAACUAUGCACCCAGAGGGAAGGACGCACAUUGAGGCUCGUGAGCUUGGGCCUAUAUCUCAAAUCCAUUUCUUCAAGAGCACAACAAAAAUAAGAUUGUGUGGAGUGCAUAAAAUUGCAUACCAGAACCAUGUCUGUGUGGACAAGGACACACGGAGCAGAAAAAGGACAAACCGAAACAACCUGGCAACUCUCUCUUCCCGCAUCCAGUGGUCAAUGAUCAUUUUAAGGAUUUUUGUCUUUGUAUGUAUGUUGGGUGAUUUGUUUUGUUCUGUUUGUUUUGUCUUUCUACACGGUAGGUAAGUACAGCUCUCACCCCAGGUUUUAUGUAUUUAGACGGCUAUCAGUGUGCCUUGGCCUGUCAUUCUAUCCCUGCUCAAAUGCUGAGCUUCUGUAAUAAAAAGGUCAUUUGCUAAGACUAAUGAAGAUAUCUGGAAGAGAUGAUGUCUGAGAGGCCACAAUGGUGGAGUUAUGUUUGAUUUCUAUGGGUUGUUUUACAAGGUGCUUUCCACCUGCUCCAAUUCAUUUAAACGCCCACAACCAUGCUCUGAGUGCAGGCUCUGACAAUCACUGGUACGAUUCUUGGCAAGGUACUUGGAAUCGUAAAUCUUACUUCAUUCCGUGUAUAUGGAGUCCUCCAAAUACAGCCUGUAUCAGUGUAACAGAGAGAUCAGAUGAGACAAUGCCUGUGAACUUUCACAUAGUGCCUGGCACAGUAAUAACCACUCAAUAGAUUUUGGCCUUCAUUAGUAUUAUUGUCAUGACUUCAAACACCACCCACCACUCCAGAGAAACAUGUGCAGGAGUUGAGGAUACUGGGGCAUGCGUGAUUUGAAACAAAGGACUGCUUUCUUUUGCUUAGAGGGGAAAUUUACCUAAACCAAACUCCUUCGAACAUGUACGAUUCUGCUGUGGAUUCUAGGGAUGGACAAAUUUAUUUUGGUAGCAACCCUUCAUGUCAGCAGUGGGUGCUGAGGACUGUCGAUCAGCCAAUGUUUCUGGUUAUUUUUCCUUUCAACAAGUAUUUAUAGAUCACCUAUUUUGCAGGAGGCUCUGUGCUAGGAGCUAUGAUCACAGAAGCAAAACAAGAUGGUGUUCAGCACUUACCCUCCAGUUGUGACAAAAAAGAAAAAAAGUACAUCUUUCAUGAACUUCAGCAACUUCCUGUACAGAAAUGUAUUAUAUGAAUUGAUCUGCUGAAUUUCACAGACUCAGAACAAUCGUUUCUGGAAUCGUGGGGCAUUUUAGUAACGGCUCUCUCCUCUUUGUUUACAAAUUCUAUCAUCUAUCAUCUAUCUAUCAUCUAUCUAUCCAUCCAUCCAUCUAUCCACAACACAGACACAUGUAAAAGUAUGGUUAUGAACAAUUGAAUAAUACUUGCUCUCAUUUCUUUUAGAGCUCACUGCUAUUAACUCCACAGAUGCUUCUCUGAAUGAUGAAAAUGACACCCUGCAGCUACAGCUCACGAACACGUCUGCCUACUACACUUACCUCCUUCUCCUUGUGAAGACCCUGGUCUACUCCGCCAUCAUUGCCAUCUGUCUG